CGGCCAUGAAAGGCAUUGCUGCUGCUCAAUCAGAGGAGGCGAGGAAGGCGGCAAUCGAGCAAGUGGCUGAAGGGCUGGCGCUAUUGGAGGAUGCCUUUCAGAAGACUAGCAAAGGGAAGGACUUCUUCAGUGGAGACAAAAUUGGGUACCUUGACAUUGCAUUUGGGUGCUUCUUGGGGUGGCUCAGAGUGACAGAGAAGAUGAAUGGGAUCAAAUUGCUGGACGAAACAAAGACACCAGGGCUGGCCAAAUGGGCUCACAAGUUUUGUGCAGAUGCUGCUGUGAAGGAUGUUAUGCCUGAGACUGAGAAGCUUGCCGAGGUUGCUAAGAUUAUUACGGCCAAAUUGAGAGGUGCAGGUGCUCCCCCGAAAUAAUGAAUAUUCUAAUUAUCAUCUUGUGUGACUCGGUGAUUAAUUAGUCGGAUAUGUUAGGCAAUAUGCUAUAGACUCAUAGACUCUGGUCUAUUUUGUUUUAUGUUCGUCUUUUUAUGUGCAUCAUGUAAUGUGAUGCAAAAUAAAUCAUGACCUACUUCAGCAGUUCUCGUUUUAAAAUUUUAUUAAUUUUAAUAAAUGUUGCUAAACGAACCUUAAAAUUAACUGAGUACACCCUAUAAUCUAAGUACACCCUAAUAUUUUAAUAAAAAUGUAAAAUUAAAUAAGUACACCCUAUAAAACUACCAAAAAUAUCCCUGAUACACCCUAAUACUUGUAGCAUUAUUUUAUAGUUGAUUUUCAGCUUGAUUUUUUUAAGAAUAUUUAUAAAUCUUUUUGACUUUUUAUAUGGAUUUAUGCUUCUAUUAAAACUGUUGACACUUUUUUUGCAAUUCCAAUUUCUUGCAAUCACCACAUCUUUCGUUAAAAACACAAAUAGGACAAGCAAUCUCUUGAUUAUGGUUGAAUAUAGUUAGUAGGGUGUACUUAUUAAAAUUAUAUUUGUUUCACAAUUCCAUAUAUCCUUUUUGGUCAUUUUAUAUUAGGGUAAAUCAGUAAUUCAAUAUAUACUUUUAUAGUAUGAUGUACUCAGUUAAUUUUAGAGUUCGUUUAGCGGCACUCAUUUUAAUUGAUCACAUCACAUAGAGAACACUUUUUGCAUUGCAUAUCAAGUGUAAUUUUGUUUUUAUCUUUUGGUUUUUUUUUUUUUGGGUAAACAAGGAGAAAAAUUACCUAAAUCAAGAAUUAAUACCACAGUGAACAAUUAAUUUGGACUACGUUACAGGAAUUCUCCAUACUAAAUUAGUAAAAUGUUUAACAAAUUUAAGUGAACUUUGUAAAGGUUACACAACAUAUACUACUAUAAUUAAUGGAUUUUGUCACACAGGAAAGAUGGCAGAAGCAGAUGGCCAGUUUGGGGCUUAGCCCAAACUUUGUCGCUUAUACGGCACUUAGGCGCUGGACGCCUCCUUUUUUAUAUAUAAAUAGUAUAAUUCGAGAAAUUUCGCCGGCUAGAUCUGUGCCGACGAACUUUCGUCGGGAGAGGUUUUCCCUUUUUUGUUGUUGUUAGUUUUAAAAAUAUAUAAUUAGUUUCUUUACUUUUGUUUUUUGGCCUACUUCUUAAAUUUAAUAUAUGUCAUUAAGUAAUAUCUUAGCCUUUUUGAAUUACUUUAAUUAGUAAUUAUAUUUUAAUUAUGAUUUAAUAUAUAAAAAUUAAAGAAAAGGUUCAUAAAAUAAUUAAUUUCUAUUUAUUAAGUCUGCUGUGAAAUCGUUUCGAUGUCUUAAUUAAAUUUCUCUAUAGCCCAAGAGCCUCAUCCAUUACUAUUAGGCCAUUACUCGAGUAUCUAUUGUCCCCUUUUUUAUUUUUUUUUCUUUUUCGGAGUCAUUGUCCGUAUAAAGAUUUUAGCACUUUCAUAUUUAAUAAUUUAUUAUACACGUACGCACGUAUUUCUCAUGUUAAAACAUGUAAUUUUUACAAAAAUUUCAAUAAGACACGCACAAUUUACAUAUUAGACACCUAAUUCUCACAUAUUAUUGAAUUAAAAUAAAAUAUAUUUAUUUAUAAAAAAAAGGGCAAUACUCAGUUUUUUCCUAAUUAUUUUUUAAAAAUAGUGUAGUUGUGUGGUGAUACACGUUUUUUCAAAUUUAUUUUUUAAAAAAAAUAGUAUAGCCGCACGGCUUUACUUGUUUGACAGUUGUGUGAGGGUCUUUAUAUAUAUAUAUAUAUAUAUAUAUAUAUAUAUAUAUCGUCUAGCCGUACUGCGAUACUAUAUUUUUUUUUAAAUUUUUUAAGAAAUAGUAUAGCCACCCGGCUUUACGCCUUUGACACGUCGCACUUAGGCGCUGGACACCUCUUUUUUUAUAUAUAAAUAGUAUAGCCGUAAAUUUAAUCCAAAAAUUUCACCGGCAUAGUCCUGUGCUGACGAACUUUCGCCGAGAGUGGUUUUUUUUUUUUUAAAUUAAUAAAUUUUAAAAAUAUAAAAAUAGUUUCUUUGCUUUUGUUUUUUGGCCAACUUCUUUAAUUUAAUAUAUAUUAUUAAGUUAUAUCUUAGCCUUUUUGAAUUACUUUAAAUAGUAAUUAUAUUUUACUUAUUAUUUAAUAUAAAAAAUUAAAAAAAAAGUCCACAAAAUAAUUAAUUUCUAUUUAUUAAGUCUUUUGUGAAAUCAUUUGUGUGUCUUAAUUAAAUUUCUAUAUAGCCCAAUAGCCCUAUUCAUUACUAUUAGGACAUUACUCAAAUAUCUAUUGUCCCUUUUUUAUUUUUUUACUUUUUCAGAGUUAUUACAGGUAUAAAGAUUUUAGCACUAUCAUGUUUAAUAAUGUAUUAUACACAUAUGCAUGUACUUGUCAUGUUUAACACACAUAUUUUUUUACAAAUAUUUCAAUAAGACACGCAAAAUUCACGUAUUAUACACCUAAUUUUCACAUAUUAUUCAAUAAAAAUAAUAUAUAUUAAAGAAAUGAUAUAGCCGCACGGCUAUACGCAGUUUUUCCUAAUUGUUUUUAAAAAAUAGUAUAGCCGUUCGGAUAUACACAGUUUUUAAAUUUUUUUUAAAAAAAAAUAGUACAGCCUUGCGGCUUUACUUGUUUGACACGUGGCGCCCAGGCGUUGGGUGGAUCUAUAUAUAUAUAUAUAUAUAUAUAUAUACAAAUAGUAUGGCCGCCGGCUAUAAUAGAUUUUUUUAAACAAAUUUAAGAUAUAGUAUAGCCGGUCGGCUAUACCAGUUUUUCCUAAUUUUUUUUUUAAAAAUAGUAUAGCCGCCCGGCUUUAUGCUUUAGACACGUGGCACCUAAGCUCUGGACGUGCCCUUUUUUAAUAUAUAAAUAUUAUAGCCAGGCGGCUAGACUAAUUUAAAAGAAAAUUUAAUCCGAAAAUUUUGCCGACAUAGAUGCGUCUGACAAACUUUCGUUGGGAGAGGUUUUUUAAUUUUUUAAUUUUAAAAAUAUAAAAUUAGUUUCUUUACUUCGGUUUUUUUGGCCUUCUUCUUUAAUUUAAUAUAUGUAACUAAGUAAUAUCUUAGCCUUUUAAAAUUACUUUAAUUAGUAAUUAUAUUUUAAUUGUUAUUUAAUAUAAAAAUUAAAUAAAAAUCCACAAAAUAAUUAAUUUUUAUUUAUUAAGUCUUUUGUGAAAUCGUUUGGGUAUCUUAAUUAAAUUUCUCUGUAGCCCAAGAACCCUAUCCAUUACUAUUAGGCCAUUACUCGAUUAUCUAUUGGUCAAUUUUUUACUUUUCCGAAGUUAUUAUCCGUAUAAAGAUUUUAGCAAUUUCACGUUUAAUAAUAUAUUACACACGUACGCACGUAUUUCUCAUGUUUAAUACACAUAUUUUUUUUUACAAAGAUUUCAAUAAGACACACAAAAUUCACGUAUUAUACACCUAAUUCUCAGUUUUUUAUAAUUGUUUUUAAAUCGUUUUUUAAAUUAUUUUUAAAAAUAGUAUAGCCGCACGGUUUUACUUGUUUGACAUGUGGCGCUGGGCAGGUCUUUUUAUAUAUAAACUAAUUUUAUAUUUUUAAAAUUUUUUUAAAAAAAAAAAAAAUCUCUCCUAACAACGUUGGCACAUGGACUAUGUUGGCGAAAUUUCCCGAAUUAAAAUUUCUUUUUAAAAACCGGGUGGUUAUACUAUUUAUAUAACUGGCUGUGGCUUUUGUAAACGAGGGGAGGUAGACAUCGCAAAUGAGCAUCUUCAAGAGAUGUGCAGGAAGGGCCCUUCAACUUUAUGUCGUCUUCACUUACAACUCAAUUGUAAAUGGCCUUUGUAAAUCAGGAAAUAUAGCUCAGGCUGAAAAAUUGAUGGAAGAAAUGCAGGUUGCUGGUCCUCUGACACUAGUUGUGAUCUAUUUAUUCAUUGGUCAAUAUGGACAUGUAACUAGCAUAUAUGUAUUAUGUAUACUGAAUCCAACCGAGAUCUGUUUGCUGCAGUUCGUCGGGCAGGGGAACUUAGUCUGCCUGUGGUAACUAAUAACUAUUGAUUGAAACUUGCUAUUUCCCACGAGAUAUGCAAAUGCCUGGUUGUGAUUUAACCGUUUUGCAAUGUCCUGGUCUUGGAUUUUUGAUAAUAAAUUGCAUGUGUUCAUGUUUCUAGUGUUCUGGUUGACGACGAUGGAAUCUUCUAGUUGCACCUUGGUUGACAAAAUCAAACUUAUCGGAUGUUGUAACAUAAAAAAUCAGGUUACAAAAUCAGACUCAUCACCUUUUUAGAUUUUUAACUUUUUUCAAUAAUGAUUUGGUGCUUCAGUAACUUGUCAAUAAUUUGACUAUUAAUACGGAAAUGCCACAAGGUUUUAAAGGUGUCAAACGGCCCGGGCCGUGUGUUUGAAAUCAGUCCAUUUAAUAAACGGGCUGCGUAGGGUCCGUUCAUUUAUGAAAAUCAUCAAUCCUGUCUCUGGCCCAUGCUCGUACUAUAGGCCACUAAACGGGCCGAAAUGGGUCCAUGUCAAAUUUGACUUAUGUAUUACAAGGGUUUAGGGUAAAUUUUUUUUUACAACUUCAUUUAAAUCUUUUUACAAUCAUAUAUAUACUAACAAGAUUUAUUAUUUGUUGAAAAAAGAGACCAAUAAUUUUAUUUAAAGCAUAUUUAAAUAGAAAAUGACUAAAUUGUUUGGACUUUAAAAAUUGAAACUUGAAAAAUAAAAUUAUUAUUUUAUGUAUAAAGAAAAUAUUAAAUUUUAAUCUAUAUAUAUAAAGCAAAGGGUAGAGAAUGGUGAAACAUUCAAAAUAUUAGAAAAUUCCCUUGGUUAAUGCAAAAAUUUAGAAUUGAAAUUAUUAUUCAUUAAAUGAGGAUAAGAUGAUAAAUUCACACUUUUUUAUAUUUUAAAAAAUAAAAAUAUAUAUAUAUAAUGGAUUCCUAUUUUUAUGGAACACAACUACCCAUUAUUUUUUUUAAGGAAAAUGCUAGGGANNNNNNNNNNNNNNNNNNNNNNNNNNNNNNNNNNNNNNNNNNNNNNNNNNNNNNNNNNNNNNNNNNNNNNNNNNNNNNNNNNNNNNNNNNNNNNNNNNNNAUGGUUGGGGUGACCAACCUUCGAUAUCAACUUGGGUACCAAAUCUCUAAUUGUGUGUGAGAACCUUUGUAUUGGUGGGCUCCACCUCUAUUAGAGAGUUGGUACACAAGUUGGUAUCUAAAGUUGGUCUCCCUAGCAUCACCCUUUUUUUAAUUCAAAAAAAAAAAAUGGCACACGUUGGGCUAAUAUAUAUUAUUAUAGAAAAAAAAAUAGACUUGAAUUUAAGAUAUAAAUGUGAUAAUAUUAUUAUUUUUUUCUAAAAUAAAUGUAAUUUACUAAUGGGCUUUAAAUAGGCCAGCCCGUUGGGUUUCAACCCAGCUUUGGGCCUAAUUGAUAUUAAUUAUAUGCAUUUGAGUGGGCAAUCAAUUUUUACUAUAUUUAAAUAUAAUUAUGUGCAUGUGAGAAUUGGGUAAUUUGGCUAUUAUUCUCGUUUGAUGUUAUCAAUAGAUGAAUGAACCCCUAAUCUUAUUUCAUCAACUAUGAAUUAUGAAAUUGUUCAUUAUGAGGGUCUAAUUGCAAUAUUUAUUUCAUUUUCCUGGGCCUUUAUUUUCUAUUUUGAGCUAGCAUAACUAAAUGUGCACUACAUCAUACCAAUAACAUGUUUUUUUUUUCUUCGAAGUCAAAAGAAUAAAAUGUUCUUCUUAGUGCUCAUAAUGCUCAAGCUUCUUUGUUAAAACCAUGGUCCCCCUAAAUUAAGUUUGGAAAAAUUCAAUCUUUGGUCUAAGCUUAUGUGAGUUUUAGUCGCUGUAAAUAUGAAUUUUCACAUCAAAUUUCACUUUACUUUGGCCGGGUGCAGCUGUCUUGGCAGAGUUGGAGUGUCAAGUGUAUGAGCAGAGAAGAAGAUAGAAAUAGAGGAGCGCUUGCAUCCCAGAAAUUCAACAACUGAAGCUUAUUUGGGGCAUUGCCAGGAAAAAUAUUGCAAUAGAACCGCUUCAAGGGCCAACUUAAGGAAGACCAAUAGCAAUAGCCAGCCACCGAUGAGUGGUUCUUGUUUGACUGAAUCAAUAGAAAGUUUAUGCAUAUCAGCUACUUGGAUCAGAAUGAAACAAACGACGCAAACAUAUAAAAUUGCAAUAGAACCGCUUCAAGGGCCAACUUAAGACCAAGAGCCAGCCACCGAUGAGUUAUGCUUAAAUAUUAGCAUCUAUAUCUUCAUUUAAUGAGAUUGAUAACUUUUGUAGAGUGUCAGCUGACUCGCACCAACCACAAGCACGACACAGUAUGUAUUUUUAUUAAUUCACUUAUUAAAAUAUGAAUAGAAAAUAAGGUCAUAAAUAAAUUUACGUGUUAUAAAUUGAUAACAUUGCGUGACGAGUAUACAUUGAUAUUGAGUUUGAUGUGUCACGGUUCUCAUGCUUGUGAGACCAAGUGAUAGAAGCUGUAUGAACUGAACUUAAAAAUGGAACUUUGAUUGUAUAUUGAUUGUGAAUUGGUAAAUGAGACAUGUUGGUUUUGGAUGACUCAUUCGCUUAUCAGUCUGUUGCAUUUUCUUGUAGUGGUUUCCGUCCAUGAGAGGCAUUGCUGCUCCUCAGGGAGAGGAGGCGAAGAAGGCGGCAAUCAAGCAAGUGGCCCGGUGCUGUUGGAGGAAGCGUUUGAGAAGACUAGCAAAGGAAAGGACUUUUUCAGUGGAGACAAAAUUGGGUAUCUUGACAUUGCAUUUGGGUGCUUCUUGGGGUGGCUAAGAGUGACAGAGAAGAUGAAUGGCGUCAAACUGCUGGACGAAACAAAGACACCAGGGCUGCCCAAAGUUUGAUGGUUGUUGUCUGUCAUGGAACAGAUCCAAACUUCACUACAAACGUUCUGUAAAUCUAAAUAAAAAAGAAAACAAUAAGGAAAACUUACCUACAUCAAGAAUAUCACAAUGAACAAUUAAUUUGAAGUAGAUUACAGUGGUAUUCCUUUACAUGAAAGUUAUUCUGAAAAACAAGGCCUCCAAUGAAUUUUCCAUGCUAAAAUGUUAACAAAUUUAAGUGAACUUUGUAAAGGUUACUUUCGACUUUGGACAAUGUUAAGAGUCAAAAAAUAUGAAUUGACUUAAUACUUUAAUUUUGCGGCCUACCCUUCAAACAUGCAUCCACCAGUGCACCUAACUAUGUCGUUACACGCAUUGACACCAAACUCACCACAGCCACUUUUCUAAUCCAUACUUACUUAACAAUCCAUGGUUGUUUCUCUUGUUUAAUUCAUCCCACCACGCUCACUAAACACAAAAACUCAGUGUUCGAUUAAAAGCUUCGAGUGUGAGUUGUGAGAGAUCGAUCGAUCAUCAUGGCCAUCACCAAGAGCGACGUGAAGGUCCUGGGAAUGUGGCCGAGCCCAUUUGUGAUGAGGGCUCGCAUCUCUCUUAACCUCAAAUCUGUCGACUACGAGUUUCUUCAAGAGACAUUUGGAUCGAAAAGCCAGCUUCUCCUCCAAUCCAAUCCAGUCCAUAAGAAAGUCCCGGUUCUCAUUCACGGUGACAAACCCAUAUGUGAAUCUCUUGUCAUUGUUGAGUACAUUGAUGAGGUUUGGGCCUCCGGCCCAUCUAUCCUCCCUUCCGACCCUUAUGAUCGCGCCACGGCACGAUUUUGGGCUGCCUAUGUCAGUGAGAAGGUAAAUUAGCUAUUCUAUAGGAAGCACUUGUACUUAUUAGCGUUUUGAAAAAAAAUAUUGUUACAAUGGUUUUUACUAAUUAAUGUUUCUUGGUUUAAAUGUGGGUGGCAGUGGUACCCAUCAUUGAAAGGCAUAGGUGCAGCUCAAGAAGAGGAGGCAAAGAAGGCAGCAGUGGAGCAAGUGGAAGAAGGGCUGGCCUUGCUGGAGGAAGCAUAUGAAAAGUCCAGCAAAGGAAAGGACUUUUUUGGUGGAGAUGAGAUUGGGUACCUUGACAUUGCGUUUGGGUGCUUCUUGGGGUGGCUCAGAGUCAUAGAGAAACUGAAUGGGGUCAAGCUGCUGGACCAAACAAAGACACCAGGGCUGGUCAAUUGGGCUGACAAAUUUUGUGCACAUAGUGCUGUGAAAGAUGUCAUGCCUG
This 8437-nucleotide long non-coding RNA is filed under the name Prunus persica (peach). Its description in RNAcentral is "long non-coding RNA (PPER_LNC001247)". Lineage: Eukaryota; Viridiplantae; Streptophyta; Magnoliopsida; Rosales; Rosaceae. The record is from RNAcentral.